Long non-coding RNA from Bubalus bubalis (water buffalo), 4780 nucleotides. RefSeq lists it as uncharacterized. The record is from RefSeq and is a predicted model, not a curated record. The transcript has 2 exons. NCBI's taxonomy places the organism in Eukaryota, Metazoa, Chordata, Mammalia, Artiodactyla, Bovidae.
GAAUAUUUAAGAACCAACUUAACAAUUGAUGUCUAUUUUCAAAAGAACUGUGACUCUUAGAACUACACAGAAUUUGGAAGAUGGAAAAGAAAGCUAUCCCACUGAGGAUGGAACUUGAAUCUAGAAUUAUCUUAACCAGGUUAGUGUUUCACCAGAUGAAAUUUAAUUACAGUCCCUGAUACUAUCUAGGGAAGCCAAACCUCAUUUGGUUAGAAAAUUGUGCUUUAAGAAUAAACUAAAAGAUUUGGUGGUCAAAGGAAUUUCCUGGUGGUCCAGUGGUUAGGACUCCAAGCUCUCACUGCCAAGGGCCUGGAUUCAAUCCCUGGUCAGGGAACAAAGAGACUACAAGCCAUGUGGUCAAAGAGAGAGAUCUAGUGGUCAAGUUUUCUCAAUGACCUCCUUCCCCCAAAACCCACCUAAAACAUCCAAAAAAGGAAACAACCACCAAAAAAUUGAGGCGUUACAGGCAAUAAAUUGCAGUACUCUGCACAUAUCCUGCCAUGGUACAGUGUUUCCCAGCCUUGGUCAGUCAGGAGCAUUUGCUCCCACUUGUAGCUCCUCAGAGAGUUCAUGGAAGGGGUGGAAGAAGCCCAAGCAACUGUAUCUCUAGGCAGAAAUGACUUGGGAAUGCCUGCCUUCCUGCAUUCGCCUCCUUUCUUUGCAGUUUAGAAUUCACAGCAAACAGGAGUGAACGUAGUGAACAAAGUUCUGCUGUGAAAAGGACUGGAUGACACGCAGGCCAUGUAACCUUGAGCAGUUUACCCAUCCUCCUUGAGUUUGAGUUUUUUCUCAACUGUAGAACAAGAACCGUGAAAGCCUCUACAUAUGGUCAUUAUAGACACCAGUAAAGCAAUCGAUGUGACUGCCACUUGUAAACUGAACUCAAGUGUGAUGUCCAUAAAUGCAUAUGUUGUGUCAAAUCUUCACUGAAUAAAGGCAUUAAGAUUGUUCCAUGAGGUUUUUUAGUGUCGGAUUUUAUCCUUUUAGCAAGGAGUCAGUAAACUAAACGUCAAGUUGCAAUAAAACCUGGCUGUAAAUCCAACUUUGCUUUUUCUUGUUUGAGUCACUUAGGGAAAGAUGGCAACCUUCCAGAUCUGUUAUCUCAACUGUAGAACUCUUUGCUCCCCUCUCAAAGAGGUGGAAUGCAUUGUAAAGGAUGAAACUUGAGGUGUCUUGUAAGCUCUAAAGCUCCAUACAUAUUGUAUGAUGCCUGCCUAUGCAGGAGCUGGAAAGGGCAAAGCAUCUGUUUUCAGAUCCAGUAAUAUCCUCGCCCUGUCCCAUCUAAUCUUUGCCCCCCAGGGUUCAGAGGAUCUGCUGAGGGGAGGGCCUGCAUCUGAGCCAUGACUUUUUAUCAGCAGUUAAAGGAAAACCAAGAGCACUCAGAGUUCCUGGGGGCAAUGGUCAGUCCCCUGGGGUGGAAUCAAUGGGCGGCUGCUGCUCAGUAAACAAAGAGGUUGGCCCACUGCCCUCGUGCCUGGCGUCUUUGCAGGUUCCCAAGAGUUCAGUGAUGGAAGGGCCCACACAUUCUCCUCAGUGCUGCUGGCUGAAACUGUCAUUAUGCAUCAGAUUUCAAGAAUGGAAUAGUAGAAUCUGUGCCCGGGGAGAAGAACCAGAUUUGGAUUUCUGCAGUCGAUCACUGACUUCCCAGGUGGUGCUAGUGGUAAAGAACUCGCCUACCAAAGCAGGAGACAUAAGAGAUGUGGGUUUGAUCCCUAGGUCGGGAAGAUGCCCUGGAGGAAGUCAUGGAAACCCAUUCCAGUAUCCUUGUCUGGAGAAUCCUAUGGAAAGAGGAGUCUGGCAAACUACAGUCCAUAGGGUCACAAAGAGUCAAACAGGACUGAAGCAACUUCCACGCACGCACACAGAGUUGAGCACAGGCUUAUUAAGCCUAGGAGUGAAAAAAAAAAAAAAAGAGCCCAGGAGUGGGAGAAAGUCUUACAAGAUGAAACUGCUCACAAUGAUUAGAAGUGGGGAAGUGAGAGCAGCUGUCUGGGAAGAUAAAGAACACCACUCAGAGACGGGAGUUGGAAUGAGAGAUGGCAAGCAGAGACAGCAAGCAGUCAGGAAGGACCAGGCAAGAUCCAGUGAAUGGGGCUCAGCAGUGAGGUCUGGAAGAGAUGAUGGAGAAGGCAAAAGGCCAAGAGUGAAACCCCAUAGAGAAGCUGGGUGAAGAACACGUGAUUCUCAAAUUCAAAUCUGUUGUCAGUAAAAGCUGGAGAGAAACACCUGGCUUCAAGCAAGCCAGCGCCUCAGCUUCACGGAGAACCUCCUGGAAGGGGAUCAAAUGAGAACUGUCUGUGAGGGGUGACGAGGCUCCAGUCCACAAGAGAAUGCAACACGCAGUGAGAGCCUAAAACCUCUGAAGAAGAUACCUCGUCCUCCAUUACUCUCUAAACUCCGUGCAGGAGACACGGUGGGGCCUGGUGUCAGUGACAGACAGCUGAGCAGAGGCUGGCCGCAUUAUCAGCAACUCUCUGAAUGUGCUUCCCCAAAAGAAUAUUCCCAUCCCAGCAAAGGAAGCCAAGAUCCAGACACUCAUAAAGAAAAUCAACGAUGGACUAAGGGGAACCGUCUCCAGAAAGGUCUAAGUAAAAGAUGUGGUCGGAAGACACUGACUGGCAGACACUCGUGCCCCUGAGGAGGGAGCCCGCACUAAAGGAUCUCCCGCUCUCACUGAGGGAGCGAGUACUACUGUGGAAAUCACUUCAGCCAGGAAGCUGUGCUGGCUGUCUGGACCAGAACUGCAGCCAAUGCCAGGAUGAUGGAGGCAACAGAAUCCCCCCAGGAGACUCAGGGUGUCCAGUGAGGCGUGGUCCAUGCAUGACAGAAGCCUCCCCACAGACACAGAUGAUGGGGUCACUUAUAAUUCCAUGCUGGACGAGCCUGGGUUCCUGAGAAACAAGAGAGAGUGAGUGCCUCCUCCGUGUUCCCUGCCUGCAGUCUUCCAGUGUGUUGUGCCCCAUGCAUUCAGAGGAAUGAUGUGUUAAAUGAAAAUUAACAUGAUAUUAGCAUACCAGGAAAAAUCACACAUCUGUGAUUGUAGUACCCUCCACUCUUUCUGCUCCCCCGGCUCUGGACUGGUGGGCUGUAGAUGACACAGAAAGGUGUCUGUUUUGGGUUGGGAUACAGAUGCUUAUGUUUUAAAAGGGGAAAACAUGGGGCUUCCUUGACAGUCCAGUUGUUAAGACUUUGCCUCCCGACGCAGGAGGUGUGGGGUUGAUUCCUGGUCAGGGAGCUAAGAUUCCCAUACCUCGCUGCCAAAAAACCAAAACAAAACAGAAGCAAUAUUAUAACAAAUUCAAUAAAAACUUUAAAUGGUCCACAUUUUUUUAAAUAUCUCUAAAAUAUUUUAAAAAUAAAAAGGGAAAGACGUUUCAUAAGUUAUCAUUCAUCCCAGAUAAGAAGAUGAAAACUUCAUUCAUAUUACCAAAUGAUUUCCCUUAUGAAAUGUUAAAAAUGGCCUCAACAGCUUCUAAUGGGACCAUCUUCAGCUGAACGGUGUGAAGAUGUGAGUGAGGAAUCAGUUUGCUUCCUGGCUGGAUUUCCCUCUUUAGAUGCAGAUCGCCUUAGGAGCUGCUGUCUUCUAACUGUGAUGAGUCCGAACUGUUGAGUAUUUUAAGCCAAAGCAGUUAUUCCCACCUCCCCACCCAAAGCAUACAAUUCUUAACUUGAAAACUGUUGUUUUGUAUUUUUCUAAGUAUCUUGAGACUUCUGUGGUUUGGUUAUGGGCUAAAAAUUACAGGGCAGUUGCAGUAGUCUUUCCACUUGUAACUGUUUUAUAUCUUUCAGUUGCUAAAAAAACAACAACAAAAAAUAGUUUAAGGCUACUUCCCAAUCAUAACUAAAUAUGUUGCAUUUAAAGUGUGUAUAUAAAGUAAUUCAUCAACUGUUGUAUUUGGGCUUCCCUGGCAGCUUGGACCAUAAACAGUAAAGAAUCUCCCUGCAAUGCAGGAGACCUGGGUCUGAUCCCUGGGUCAGAAAGAUCCCCUGGAGAAGGAAAUGGCUACUGACUCCAGUAUUCUUGCCUGGAGAAUUCCAUGUACAGAAAAGCCUAGUGGGCUACAGUCCAUGGGGUCGCAAAUAUGUUGCAUUUAAAAUGUACAUAUAAAGUAAUUCAUCAACUAUUGUAUUUAGGGGGUUAUAUUCAUUGCAUGCAAGUUAUUAACAUUCUGAGCUCAAAGUAGGCUUAAGUCAAAAACUGUGAUUUCUUCUGCAUGAUUCAUCUUAAUUUUUUUCUGUGCUACCUAAAUGUAUAAGCAGCAUGGCAACUGAGCCACAUUCUGACUCUUGCAAUAUCUUCUCCACAAGAAGCAUUGCCUCUACAAGAGUCUCUGAGGACAGGAGAAUAUUGCAGUGUCAGGGUUCACCUCAGUGUUUAAAACAAAUGUUAACAAAAAUGGUAGCGCAGGGAUGCAUGGAGCUAACAUCUGAAACUAUACAUCCUCUGGAAGUUUCUCAAUGCUACUAAAAAGCAGCAUAUCUAAAGAGGCACUGAUAGAGCAAACAGCUAGCAGAAAUAAAGUAGUUUUGUUUUUUCUAACAUUUAUUGAAUACUUAUUCAGAGCAAGGCCAGGGCCUAUCACAUGCGAGUUUCACAAAAGCACUACGACAACAUUAUUUUUAAUUUACAGUUAUCUGAAGGGUUUAGAAGUUAUUAACUUAACCAAGGUCUCACUGCUUGGAAAUGGAAGAUGCCAGCCAACUUCCAGGCUUCUUUUAUAUGAGACAGGAAUAAGUAACUCUAAGGUGGUUUAAGGAAUAAAUAAUGGUAUAAGGUGCU